UGCCUGUUUUACAAAAACAUGGCUCUUUGAUAUAAAGUACAAAGAGUUUGGCCUACCCUGUGAUUUAGGUUUAACGGUUGCGACGAGAGUUGUACUAAGGUAGCGUGAUAAGUUGUUUCUUAAUUAGGAAAUGGAAUGAAUGGUUUGAGUGUGGAAUAGCUGUCUUUAUAAAAUGUUAUGAACUUUCCUUUUAAGUGAAAAGGCUUAAUUGUUUGUAAAAGACGAGAAGACCCUGUCGAGUUUUAUUAAGGUUUAUAAAAGUUUGUGAUCUUAAAUUUUGUUGGGGCAAUAAAAACCAAAAUAACGGUUUAUUUUUAUUUAGAUCCUUUAGAAAGAAUAAAGCAAAAACUACCGCAGGGAUAACAGCGUUAUCCUUUUUAAGAGGUCUAAUUGAGAAAAGGGUUUGCGACCUCGAUGUUGGAUUAAAAAAACUGUAUGGUGUAGCAGCUAUAAGUAGUGAGACUGUCGUCUUUUU
RNAcentral lists this ribosomal RNA (475 nucleotides) under Dosinia biscocta. RNAcentral describes it as "partial large subunit ribosomal RNA". It matches the Rfam family "Bacterial large subunit ribosomal RNA", at positions 1797 to 2590 of the family's 2925-position model. The record is from RNAcentral. Lineage: Eukaryota; Metazoa; Mollusca; Bivalvia; Venerida; Veneridae.